AUUGAACGCUGGCGGAAUGCUUUACACAUGCAAGUCGAACGGCAGCACGGACCUCGGUCUGGUGGCGAGUGGCGAACGGGUGAGUAAUGUAUCGGAACGUGCCCAGUCGUGGGGGAUAACGUAGUGAAAAUUACGCUAAUACCGCAUACGAUCUAUGGAUGAAAGCGGGGGAUCGCAAGACCUCGCGCGAUUGGAGCGGCCGAUAUCAGAUUAGGUAGUUGGGGGGGUAAAGGCCCACCAAGCCAACGAUCUGUAGCUGGUCUGAGAGGACGACCAGCCACACUGGAACUGAGACACGGUCCAGACUCCUACGGGAGGCAGCAGUGGGGAAUUUUGGACAAUGGGCGAAAGCCUGAUCCAGCCAUUCCGCGUGCAGGAUGAAGGCCCUCGGGUUGUAAACUGCUUUUGUACAGAACGAAAAGGUUUCUACUAAUACUAGGAGCUCAUGACGGUACUGUAAGAAUAAGCACCGGCUAACUACGUGCCAGCAGCCGCCGUAA
This 500-nucleotide ribosomal RNA is filed under the name uncultured bacterium. Its description in RNAcentral is "partial 16S ribosomal RNA". It matches the Rfam family "Bacterial small subunit ribosomal RNA", at positions 30 to 523 of the family's 1533-position model. The record is from RNAcentral.